AAAGCGUGCGCAGGCGGUUAUGCAAGACAGAUGUGAAAUCCCCGGGCUCAACCUGGGAACUGCAUUUGUGACUGCAUAGCUAGAGUACGGUAGAGGGGGAUGGAAUUCCGCGUGUAGCAGUGAAAUGCGUAGAUAUGCGGAGGAACACCGAUGGCGAAGGCAAUCCCCUGGACCUGUACUGACGCUCAUGCACGAAAGCGUGGGGAGCAAACAGGAUUAGAUACCCUGGU
Molecule: ribosomal RNA, 230 nt
Filed under: uncultured bacterium
Lineage: Bacteria
Description: partial 16S ribosomal RNA
Rfam family: Bacterial small subunit ribosomal RNA
Source: RNAcentral